UUAGCGGUGACGCUAUGGGCGAAGGAAGUGGCUAGCGAAUUUUCCGAGCCUACGAACAGAAACCUGGUCAGGCCAAAUGGUGGAUAAGACUGCCAUACAAGUCGAAGUCCGAAAGACAAUCGUAAAACCAAGACGGUAAACCAGGAGCUGAUUAACAGUUAACAAA
This is a non-coding RNA of Lactobacillus pasteurii, 166 nucleotides long. The record is from Rfam. NCBI's taxonomy places the organism in Bacteria, Bacillati, Bacillota, Bacilli, Lactobacillales, Lactobacillaceae.